AAAGACUGAGAACUUCAUUGUGAGAUCUGACCAAAAGGGGAGAGGCCAGAAGAAGAUGUGGGAGAGGCAUGCAGGAGGCAUUCAGAUGCUGUCUUGAUAGUUCGGUCAUAAGAGGAAGCAAUUCUGUUAAAGAAAUAGACACAUAAGGCAAGGCAAAAUAAGGACCCAGCUGGGAAGCAGCACCAUACGAACAGGCCUAUGCUAAAAGAGGAA
RNAcentral lists this long non-coding RNA (213 nucleotides) under Fukomys damarensis (Damara mole-rat). RNAcentral's name for it is "lncRNA (ENSFDAG00000029187.1)". Lineage: Eukaryota; Metazoa; Chordata; Mammalia; Rodentia; Bathyergidae. The record is from RNAcentral.